GACGAACCGUCCUAACGUUAUUCGGAAUCACUGGGCUUAAAGGGUGCGUAGGCGGCCAAUUAAGUAGGGUGUGAAAGGUUACGGCUCAACCGUGACAUUGCGCUCUAGACUGAUUGGCUCGAGUGAGAUAGGGGUGUGCGGAACUUCCAGUGGAGCGGUGAAAUGUGUUGAUAUUGGAAGGAACGCCGGUGGCGAAAGCGGCACACUGGGUCUUAACUGACGCUGAGGCACGAAAGCCAGGGGAGCGAACGGG
RNAcentral lists this ribosomal RNA (253 nucleotides) under uncultured bacterium. RNAcentral's name for it is "partial 16S ribosomal RNA". It matches the Rfam family "Bacterial small subunit ribosomal RNA", at positions 524 to 776 of the family's 1533-position model. The record is from RNAcentral.